This 370-nucleotide ribosomal RNA is filed under the name uncultured Paracoccaceae bacterium. Its description in RNAcentral is "bacterial SSU rRNA". It matches the Rfam family "Bacterial small subunit ribosomal RNA", at positions 68 to 484 of the family's 1533-position model. Lineage: Bacteria; Pseudomonadati; Pseudomonadota; Alphaproteobacteria; Rhodobacterales; Paracoccaceae. The record is from RNAcentral.
GCAUCCUUCGGGAUGAGCGGCGGACGGGUGAGUAACGCGUGGGAAUAUGCCCUUCUCUAAGGAAUAGCCUCGGGAAACUGAGAGUAAUACCUUAUACGCCCUUCGGGGGAAAGAUUUAUCGGAGAAGGAUUAGCCCGCGUUAGAUUAGGUAGUUGGUGGGGUAAUGGCCUACCAAGCCUACGAUCUAUAGCUGGUUUGAGAGGAUGAUCAGCCACACUGGGACUGAGACACGGCCCAGACUCCUACGGGAGGCAGCAGUAGGGAAUCUUAGACAAUGGGGGAAACCCUGAUCUAGCCAUGCCGCGUGUGUGAUGAAGGCCUUAGGGUCGUAAAGCACUUUCGCCAGAGAUGAUAAUGACAGUAUCUGGUA